Molecule: long non-coding RNA, 1490 nt
Filed under: Camarhynchus parvulus
Lineage: Eukaryota; Metazoa; Chordata; Aves; Passeriformes; Thraupidae
Description: lncRNA (ENSCPVG00000018002.1)
Source: RNAcentral
AUGCAAGGGAAUGACAGGAGUCUCCCCUUUUUUGCACUGACCUCAAAGGACAAGACCAACAGGUUGCAGUGUAUAGUGACCUUAUCUUUCUUCCUGUACAGGUCAGAGGUGCCCUUUCAGCAAACAUCUGUGAAUAAAUGUCCUGCACAGACUGGGAGCUUAAUGCUGACACCUCACAUGGAAGAAAGUACCUGUAAAUGUCUGUCUCAGAUGGACAGUGCUGCUCAUCCCCAUCAUCCCUCUCUCACUUGUGCUUCUCUCCCCCCAUGGACACAGGACAUGCACCGAGCUGGGCAGAGGCCAGAGCUGUGGUCUCCUGCAUCUUUCAUGUCCCACAUGAGAGCUGGCUCAGAAGAGAGAGGAGGUCAGCCUGCCAAUGGUCACAAAGGAGCCCAUUCUCAAGACUCUCAACAGAAUUCCGUGGAGAAGUUGCCACCAAAUUUGCAGCCACAUUUGCUGUCAUCUGAAGACUUGAUGGGAAAAAGGAGUCACCAGACUGCAGGUACAUCCUCAGAUCCAAACUGUAGCAAUUGCUCAUGCUCCUCUCUGAUCUGUGUGAGACUGCAAGUCACUGCCACAAAAUGUAUGGGAGAGAGGGCAACCUUGUGUGCCAGCAUGAGGAGGUAAAGGGUACCAGUACUCCCUUCUGGGAAGGUAACUGCAGUUGGGUGGAUUCUGUGAGUCUGGGGGCUAAAGCCCUGCUCUAGGCAUUGAAGGAUGGGAGCAGCUUGAACAUUCUUUUAGCAAGAAUGUGCUCAGGUGUUGGGGUGUUCACAUGUACAGCAGAACUUGCUUCAGGAGGGAAGUUCAUCCUGUAGAGCUCUCUGAGAUUUCCCUGUACUUACAGCAUGGCUGUAAAGGGGACAGGUGGUGUCUAAGCACCUCCCUUUGUGGUGUUUUAAAUUACAUCAGAGCAUGACAUUUGUUCUGCAGGACUACUGCACUUAAUUACUUCUAGACUAAAUGUGAAAGACUAAAUUCUGAACAGGCCAAAACAGUAUCUGUAGUACUGAACCAUCCACCAGAGCAUUUUGUAUCUUUUAUGUGUUCAGACUGAGUCUUCAAGAGCUUGUUCUGUUGUCAGAACUCCUGCUCUCUCACUGGAGGGCCUGAUCCUUUGGGGUGAACAGGUACAUGGCAAAGGGUAACCAAAUACAUGAAAAGCAGUUGGGAGGGUUCCUUUUUCCCUGUCAUUAAAAAUAUUUUCUGGUUUUUUGUAAGAAGAGUGGAUGUCUGUUCUACUUCCAUUGCUUGUGCCUUUUAUCUUCCAUUCAGCUGAAGGGGAAAAGAGGGAGCACAGUUCCAGAGAAGAAAUGAUGUUGGAGAGAAAGGUGGAAGUUGAACUCUGGCAUAUCCAGCAGCAGAUGCAGUACUACUACAGCAGGAAGCAGGAGCUCAAGUAAUGCCCCUUUAGCCAGCCUCUCUUCAUGUUGUCCACUCUGUUGCACUUUUUCUGUAUAUCUACCCUAGAAAUAAUCAGUCUGCUCACA